UCGACGCUUAGAUCGGCACGGUCCACGACGCUGACGAUGUCGCCUACGUAGAAGCUUCCGGUGAGCUGUGUGUGAUCAAUCACGUAGCGCCGAA
This 94-nucleotide transfer RNA is filed under the name Burkholderia latens. RNAcentral's name for it is "tRNA-Val". The record is from RNAcentral. Lineage: Bacteria; Pseudomonadati; Pseudomonadota; Betaproteobacteria; Burkholderiales; Burkholderiaceae.